CCUACGGGAGGCAGCAGUAAGGAAUAUUGGACAAUGGCCGCAAGGCUGAUCCAGCCAUCCAGCGUGCAGGAAGAAGGCCCUAUGGGUUGUAAACUGCUUUUGUCAGGGAAGAAACCUUUGGAUUUACUCCGGAGCUGACGGUACCUGAAGAAUAAGGAUCGGCUAACUCCGUGCCAGCAGCCGCGGUAAU
RNAcentral lists this ribosomal RNA (190 nucleotides) under uncultured bacterium. RNAcentral's name for it is "partial 16S ribosomal RNA". It matches the Rfam family "Bacterial small subunit ribosomal RNA", at positions 338 to 524 of the family's 1533-position model. The record is from RNAcentral.